This is a long non-coding RNA of Gavialis gangeticus (Gharial), 542 nucleotides long. RefSeq lists it as uncharacterized. NCBI's taxonomy places the organism in Eukaryota, Metazoa, Chordata, Crocodylia, Gavialidae. The record is from RefSeq and is a predicted model, not a curated record. The transcript has 2 exons.
UAGUUGUAAUGGUUGUAAUGAAGAUAUACAUGUCUGGCCCUUUGCUAGAGUUAUAUGCAGAUACUAUGUUGAAGUACACAGCUGUAUGAUUAAAGAAAGGAACUAGCCUGGGUUGUAUUUGCUCUUUCCACUUGACUCUGGCAUCCCAAAUGGAGCCUGAGGUUUUUCCUCACCAGUGCUGAAGCGGGGCCUCCCAUUUUACCUGAAAACCAGGACAAGAUUCCCCACUGAAAGUUUUACUAAGGCAGCUGUAAACCACCAUAAACUUAUCUCUGCCUAGAGCUGCACCCCAUCAGCUACAUCAGUCUUCAAGCUGGUCUGACUGAAAACUCUUGAUCCUGUGCAUUUAUAUCAGAUCUGAGAUGCCAUACAAUGGAGUGACUGCAGGGGGAGAGCCAACAACAGGAGCUAUCCUGUAGUUCAUUAAUUAACUAUAAAUCUAUUUUACUUCCAAAGUAUUUAGGUCCUGUCUCUGACUUCCACCUUUUUGGAAGGAUAAAAAGGAUGGGCACUCAUGAUUCCCAGCCCCAGCUGCAAAAUAA